This 141-nucleotide non-coding RNA is filed under the name Sphaerotilus natans. RNAcentral describes it as "TPP sequence". It matches the Rfam family "TPP riboswitch aptamer (THI element)". Rfam says of the family: Vitamin B(1) in its active form thiamin pyrophosphate (TPP) is an essential coenzyme that is synthesised by coupling of pyrimidine and thiazole moieties in bacteria. The previously detected thiamin-regulatory element, thi box was extended, resulting in a new, highly conserved RNA secondary structure, the THI element, which is widely distributed in eubacteria and also occurs in some archaea. The record is from RNAcentral. Lineage: Bacteria; Pseudomonadati; Pseudomonadota; Betaproteobacteria; Burkholderiales; Sphaerotilaceae.
CCCCACGCUCCGGGGUGCCCCGGGUCGGCAAAGCCUCGUCCCGCGAGGCGCUGCGGAUCCGACGUGCUGAGAUGGUCGAAGACCGAACCCGCUGUACUUGACCCGGUUAAUACCGGCGUAAGAAGAGCCUGCACCUCGGCC